GAGUUUGAUCCUGGCUCAGAGCGAACGCUGGCGGCAGGCUUAACACAUGCAAGUCGAGCGGGCGUAGCAGUACGUCAGCGGCAGACGGGUGAGUAACACGUGGGAACGUACCUUUUGGUUCGGAACAACUGAGGGAAACUUCAGCUAAUACCGGAUAAGCCCUAACGGGGAAAGAUUAUCGCCGAAAGAUCGGCCCGCGUCUGGUUAGCUAGUUGGUGAGGUAAUGGCUCACCAAGGCGACGAUCAGUAGCUGGUCUGAGAGGAUGAUCAGCCACACUGGGACUGAGACACGGCCCAGACUCCUACGGGAGGCAGCAGUGGGGAAUAUUGGACAAUGGGGGCAACCCUGAUCCAGCCAUGCCGCGUGAGUGAUGAAGGCCCUAGGGUUGUAAAGCUCUUUUGUGCGGGAAGAUAAUGACGGUACCGCAAGAAUAAGCCCCGACUAACUUCGUGCCAGCCGCCGCCGUAAC
This 470-nucleotide ribosomal RNA is filed under the name uncultured microorganism. RNAcentral describes it as "bacterial SSU rRNA". It matches the Rfam family "Bacterial small subunit ribosomal RNA", at positions 9 to 524 of the family's 1533-position model. The record is from RNAcentral.